UACGAAGGGGGGCUAGCGUUGCUCGGAAUGACUGGGCGUAAAGGGCGCGUAGGCGGUUUGGACAGUCAGAUGUGAAAUUCCUGGGCUCAACCUGGGGGGCUGCAUUUGAUACGUUUUGGACUAGAGUGGGGGAAGAGGGUCGUGGGAAUUCCCAGUGUAGAGGUGAAAAUUCGUAGAUAUUGGGAGGAACACCAGUGGCGAAGGCGGCUCACUGGUCCUUACUGACGCUGAGGUGCGAAAGCGUGGGGAGCAAACAGGG
RNAcentral lists this ribosomal RNA (259 nucleotides) under uncultured bacterium. RNAcentral describes it as "partial 16S ribosomal RNA". It matches the Rfam family "Bacterial small subunit ribosomal RNA", at positions 524 to 777 of the family's 1533-position model. The record is from RNAcentral.